This 192-nucleotide unclassified non-coding RNA is filed under the name Pucciniomycotina sp. RNAcentral describes it as "partial contains small subunit ribosomal RNA, internal transcribed spacer 1, and 5.8S ribosomal RNA". The stretch from base 1 to 46 matches the Rfam family "Eukaryotic small subunit ribosomal RNA", at positions 1786 to 1831 of the family's 1831-position model. Lineage: Eukaryota; Fungi; Basidiomycota. The record is from RNAcentral.
AAGUCGUAACAAGGUUUCCGUAGGUGAACCUGCGGAAGGAUCAUUAGUGAUAAUCGGGCGUCUUUGGAGCCCAAACUUCACUCUUCAAACACCUGUGCACCGUUACCUUUUUUUUUAAUAACACAAGUCCUAAGGAUGUCAUCGUUUACUAUAAACAAAAUAAAACUUUCAACAACGGAUCUCUUGGCUCUC